GAUGAAGAACGUAGCGAAAUGCGAUAAGUAAUGUGAAUUGCAGAAUUCAGUGAAUCAUCGAAUCUUUGAACGCACAUUUCGCCCCCUGGUAUUCCGGGGGGCAUGCCUGUCCGAGCGUCAUUACAACCCUCAAGCUCAGCUUGGUGUUGGGCCCCGCCGCCCCGGCGGGCCCUAAAGUCAGUGGCGGUGCCGUCCGGCUCCGAGCGUAGUAAUUCUUCUCGCUCUGGAGGUCCGGUCGUGUGCUCGCCAGCAACCCCCAAUUUUUUUCAGGUUGACCUCGGAUCAGGUAGGGAUACCCGCUGAACUUAAGCAUAUCAAUAAGCGGAGGA
RNAcentral lists this unclassified non-coding RNA (329 nucleotides) under soil metagenome. RNAcentral describes it as "partial contains 5.8S ribosomal RNA, internal transcribed spacer 2, and large subunit ribosomal RNA". The stretch from base 1 to 120 matches the Rfam family "5.8S ribosomal RNA", at positions 35 to 154 of the family's 154-position model. The record is from RNAcentral.